UGCCAGCAGCCGCGGUAAUACGGGGGGAGCAAGCGUUGUUCGGAAUCACUGGGCGUAAAGGGCGUGUAGGCUGUUUCGCAAGUCAGAAGUGAAAACCACCGGCUUAACCGGGUGGCCUGCUUUUGAAACUGCAAGACUUGAGUACGGAAGAGGAGAGCGGAAUUCCUGGUGUAGCGGUGAAAUGCGUAGAUAUCAGGAAGAACACCGGUGGCGAAGGCGGCUCUCUGGGUCGAUAUUGACGCUGAGGUGCGAAAGUGUGGGGAGCAAACAGGAUUAGAUA
RNAcentral lists this ribosomal RNA (280 nucleotides) under uncultured bacterium. Its description in RNAcentral is "partial 16S ribosomal RNA". It matches the Rfam family "Bacterial small subunit ribosomal RNA", at positions 506 to 784 of the family's 1533-position model. The record is from RNAcentral.